UGUAUUAGAAAUAUUGGGCUUCAAGCCCAAAUCCAGAACAAGCACACGCGGGUCCAAGUGCUAAACAUCCAAAAUCGCUUAUGCUGAAAGCCAACAACACGAAUGAAAACAUUGAAACUGCUUAUCCAAAAGAAAACUCAAAAUCGCGUUUUCAUCGGCAUCAUCAGCGCUCGAGUUCUUCUCCGUCCUUUGAUUUGCCGAAGAGUUUUGAAACCUCGCGUAUUUGGUUCUCAACAUCGCAUUUCGGCAUCGCGUUUGGAUGUUCAAGUCUUGAAAGCGUGGAUGUAGUCUUGAAAGCGUCGUGUUUCGAUUAGGAUUCAGUCUCGAUUCUUCAUCUCCUUCGCAUCCCUAAGUGUAAUCGCUUCAAAACGCCGGCAUCAUGAGCUUCAAUUGAAACUUUGGAAGCAAAGUAUGCCUGCCUUCGUCUUCAGCUGCAUCCGUCCACGAAGAGGCGGUCGACGCUGCCAAGUAUUCAUCCGUAAUUCAAGGCUGGUGAAUCAGUAACUGGAAGCGUACUUGAUCCACUAUUUCUUAAUUGCGUUCAACCUCGAAGGAUUCGAUUGAAAUAUGAACGGAGUUGCGACAAGAAUAAGAAUAAACUAUGGAUUAUGGCAAGGACAACCUACCGGAUUGAAGCGACGCGGAGGUUCCGACGAGUUGGAAGUUUGUUGGCUCUCGCUCGUUGCUGCGCUAUCCGCGUUGCGUUUUGGUUUCCGCUGGCAGAGUUGAGAUGCAGGUGGCGCGGUGGUUUGAGCUCCACCAAUCGAAGCUUCAACGUGAAGCUUCAAUGGUGUUUCACUAUCAGAUCUUUGGUGAGGUAAAUGAAGCAGACGAUUGAAAAAGUGAAACAGAAGGUUGAAGAAUGGAGCAGAAAAAUUGCAGAAAUGAAAAACUCCUUCAGAAUGAGGCUUGGAGGGCUUAUAUAGAGCGUUUAGCCUAACCUAACCGAUUCGGGCAGGUUGUUGAUCAAGGAGUGGGUUGUCUUCAAUGUCGGUAUGUGGAGGCUGUUUCAGUUUUUGUAUGCGAUGGCCUUGAGUUUAUAGUUAAGUUUUUCAUAAGGUGGUUAUGUUCUGUUGGAGAUCGAAGCAAGGUUGAAGAGUUAGAAGAGGGCAUUGUGAAGUUCUGUUGAGGGUUGGCUCUUUAUGCAGGAUUAGAAAUUGUCAUCAGCUGUUAACAGUUGGAUUUCUGUUAGGAUUUCUGUUAAUUGUUAGGACUUACCUUGAAAUUAGAGGGUUAUGUUAAACAUCACCGUGGAGCUGUUAGAUUAGUUCAGAAAUAUGUAACAAAGUUAAUAUGAACAAAGUUAGGUUGAUUCCAAUAGGCUGUUGUUCCGCAAUUGGUUUGUCAAUUCUCUUUUGGUGAAGUUAAAUGAAAAUUAUGCUUUUUUAGAGGCUGAA
Molecule: long non-coding RNA, 1397 nt
Organism: Lathyrus oleraceus (garden pea)
Lineage: Eukaryota; Viridiplantae; Streptophyta; Magnoliopsida; Fabales; Fabaceae
Exons: 3
Source: RefSeq, a predicted model, not a curated record